Molecule: small RNA, 4447 nt
Filed under: Mytilus galloprovincialis (Mediterranean mussel)
Lineage: Eukaryota; Metazoa; Mollusca; Bivalvia; Mytilida; Mytilidae
Source: RNAcentral
AUGCCAUUUGGUCUUCAAAAUUCUCCAGCAGUUUUUUCGCGAUUAAUGGAAAUCGUUCUCGAAGGGUUACCUUUCGCGGUAGCGUACAUUGAUGACAUUCUAAUAUAUUCAAGUACUUUAGACGAACACCUUUCCCACAUUCAACAAGUAUUUGAUCGCUUGAGAAAACACGGGCUUAAGUUAAAACUAAAGAAAUGCCAAUUUUUGAAAAAUGAAACAAAUUAUUUAGGUUUCAAAAUAACCGGAAAUGGGAUUAAACCGGAUACGGAAAAGGUGGAAACGAUAAGAUCAUUGCCUGCACCAAUUAAUGUCAAAGAGGUCAGAAGUUUUAUCGGUAUGCUUAGUUAUUAUCGUCGAUUCGUCCCAAAUUUCUCGAAAAUAUCGAUCCCUUUGGUUGAACUGACGAAAAAAUAUGCAAAGUUUAACUGGACAGACGAAUGUCAAAGAGCCUUUGAAUAUCUUAAAGAUAGUUUGACAGUUAUUCCAUUAUUAGCAUACCCAGAUUUGACAAAGCGGUACACGCUUUACACGGACGCCUCAGACGGCACAAUCGGUGCUUGUUUGACUCAGCCGUGUAAUGAUACUGAGGAAGUUAAACCCUUGCCGUUUUUGGCACAACCUUUUUGAUCUUUUGGUCCUCGAUGCUGUUCAACUUUGUACUCGUUUCGGCUUUCAAACUUUUGUAUCUGUGCGUCACACAUAGGUCUUGUUGACAAAAUACACUUCUGGCGUAUUAAAAUUUUGAAACUUUUGCCUUUGUUGGCUGUUGUUCGUGUGAUUCUUGUCAAUUGUGUUCUCUAAUUUAUUUAUAUUGUAGUCCUGGGUUGUCAUUUUGAUGUUAUAUUUCACAUGGCCAUAAAAGUGCGAGGUUUGGCAUGCCACAAAACAGGUUCAACCCACCAUUUUUUCCUUUAAAAACGUACCAAUCAGGAAUAUGGUCAUUGUUAUAUUAUAGUUCGUUUCUGUGUGUAUUACAUUAUAACGUUGUGUCGUUUGUUUUCUCUUAUUUUUGUAUGUAUUUGGUUUUGAUGUUAUAUAUAUAUGUUAUAUUUGUUAUUCUCGUGGGAUUUUGUCUAUAUGUGUUACAUUUUAGUGUUAUGUCGUUGUUCUCCUCUUAUAUUUAAUGUUUGUAUGGGUUAAAAAUGAAAAACCAAUCUAUUUCUUGUCACACAAAUUAAGUGACACACAGACGCGUUGGUCAACUAUUGAAAAAGAAGCAUUUAGCAUUCAUUAUUCACUUCAAAAAUUAGACCAUUAUCUGCAUAACGCAGAAUUUACGAUUAAGACCGAUCACAAACCAUUAAAGUAUAUUUUAGAAUCCCCUAUGCAGAAUAAAAAGAUUCAACUAUGGGCAUUAGGCAUAACAGGGUAUAACUGUAAAAUUGAAUGGUUGGCUGGGACAGAAAACACUAUCGCGGACUAUCUCUCUAGAAGACCUAACCGGGUAGAAGUUAAUAAAUCAGACAAUAAAAAGACAGACGACGAAGACAUUGAAAUAGACAUUAGUGACAAGGCUUACGAAAUUAACACCAUUAAUUCUAACGAAAUUGACCCAAAGAAAUUUGCAAGUUGUAGUUACAAAGAGUCAGAUACUUUGACACUUAAAGAUUUUGUGGUUUCGGGUUACGACAUGAAAUAUGAGCAAUCACUCGACAAAGAAUUAGCUUUGAUAAUUAGCCAAAUGAAAAAUGGCAAAGCCUCGAAAUCAGUUGAAAAUAAGUAUAUACUGAUAGAUGAAAUAAUGUAUUAUAUCUCUAAAGCAGAUACUGAACCUGUGUUAAGGUUGUAUGUCCCUUUACAAUUAAGAGACGAAGUAGUGAAACAAUAUCAUGAUCAAGAUCAUUUGGGUGUUGACAAAACGUAUGACGCUAUUAAGGGUAAAUAUUUUUGGCCAAAAUUAUACAAAGAACUCCAUGAAUAUGUAAACUCUUGUAUAACGUGUCAAAAACGGAGCUCCUAUCAUGCGAAACCAAAGCUCCAGGAAACUGAUAUACCACCAUUUCCAUUUGCAAAAAUUGCAAUUGACUUGUCCGGUCCGUACCCAAGGUCAUUGUCGGGAAAUAAAUAUAUCAUAAGUUUUAUUGACCUUUAUAGCGGAUACCCAGAAUGUUUUGCUGUUCCUGAUAAGUGCGCUGAAAAUGUAGUUCAUUUAUUAUUAGAAGAAAUCAUCCCAAAACAUAGUUUUCCUUUACAAAUAUUGACAGAUAAUGGGGGUGAAAACACAAGUUAUAUGGUUCGCGAAACUUUACAAGAACUUAAUAUAAGCCAUGUGACUACAUCAUUUUAUUCACCAGGGUCCAAUGGCAAAGUUGAAAGGUUACAUCGAUUUUUGCAUGACAUUCUAGCAAAGAAAAUACAAGACGAUGCCUCAACAUGGGACGUUUAUCUAAAUCAAACGUUAGCCGCAAUUAGAUUUAACAAAAACGAGUCGUCUGACUUCUCUCCUUUCUUUCUUUUAUACAACAGAGAUCCUGUACUUCCCGUUGAUAAUAUUUUGCGUCCGAGACGUAAGUACGCAGGUGACGAUCCCCAUAAAAUUUUAUUAGAGCAGCAACAUAAAUCUUUUGUCAUGGUUCACAAAAAUAUGAAAAAGUCAAAAAGAAAACAAAAGGAACACGCGGAUAAGUCGAGACGCGAUAUUGAAUUUAAAGUAGGGCAAGCUGUAUUUUAUCGAAAUCACCUCCGUAAAAGUAAGUUAGACAGUAAAUGGAAACCAUUUUAUAGGAUAAUUGAACAAAGGUCACCGGUCAGUUUUAUCAUAAAAAAUCAACUAAACGGAACUACCACCAAAGUGCAUGCCCAACAUCUUAAACCUGCACCCGUAAAUGAGUGGACUAUUCCGAAAUUAGGUCAAGCUGACAAAGAUAAACAGUUAAGAAAAACUACUUAUGUUGUACCCCCCGAAUCAUCUGAUAAAGAGUCAGAAAAUGAAACUGAUAGCGAAAAUUCUUCUAUGGAAGGAGUAGAGCAAACUCGUGACAAAUUGAUACGAAGGUAUAAAAACGAACGCGAAUCUUCCUCUGGUGAAGAUGAUAUUCCUUUAAUGGAACUUACGAAAAGGGUAAAAUACCGUAAGAAACGGAUAAAGGCUCAAUAUGAAAAUACGACGGACGAAGAAGACAAUAUUCCUUUACUUGAGCUCCAGAAUAAUUUGAAAUCUCGGGCAAUGACUUCUGAAACAAGAUCUAUCAGUUUAGAUGCUAACUCGUCGGAAGACGAGUCAAUGUCAGUAAAUCAUUUUAUUGAAAAACCUGCGAGCAAGCGGGAUGACAUAGCCAAAAAUGACAAAAUUUAAAAUAUAUUUUCUGAUAUGUCAAAAUGUUUAAAAGAUAUUUCGAACAGUAGCUUGUUCUCUCUAUACAUAUAUAUAUACAUGUAUGUCUAGGCAUUUUAUAUAUAUAAAAUACUAAUAUAUUUAUAUUACUAUAUUAGAUGCACUUCAGAGGAAUAGACUUGGAAGGGAAGGACAUGGAAGCUGUGGAACAAAAUCAGAAAUUUAAUUUGAUUUUAACAGAAUUCGCUUUUAUAGCAUACUCGGGUUGCCACGAAUCGUUGGCUGAAAAGGGGAUUCUUCCUUCUAUUAUUAAACAAAUUUAUAAAACCUGGUCCCAAAAGGCCAGAUUGUUCCACGAAAAUAGAAUGAUGGGGACUAUUUUAGGGUUUCUUAUAAAACCUUUUUCGACAGUUCCCACCAUGACCGGUUAUUAAUUCCUUCUUUAGUUAAAGAGGUAGUAGAAAUUGUGGUAGAAAGAGCCAGAAACAAGGGUUUCUUUUAUUUACACACUCUUAGAUUACAAAUGGAAAACCAAAUAAGGUAUAACAGGGCGAUUGUAUUCUGCCCUGAGUUCAUGGACGAAAUUGGGGGAGAUAUACGGAAUGAUAUUUUGUGGUUGUACCGCGAGAGUUAAAGUGUACAUCAACUAUUUUAAAUUAUUUUAUGGUUUUAUAAUGAGACAUGAAAAUAAGGUAUUUUGUUUAAUUGUAGGAUAUGGGACGGACGGCUGGACAUAUAAUUCUAACACUUCUUUUUGGUUUUGGCGAGCUGGCUUUCAUAUCUGACAAUAUUGUAUUUGACAAAGUAAAUACUGUUACCACCACGAGGUCGAAAUGGUUGGUAACCUUCAUAAUUGAUUUAAAACCUUUUGAAGGAUUUUUGAACAGAAUAUCCCAUGACAUGGUAAAAUCCUCCGCAUUAGCACAAACUGUUUUGAGACGUUAUGAACAACCUGGAAAGGAACAUUUUUAUAACACUUUUGCAAAUUUGGAACAAGAAUUUAAUCUGUUAAUGGACAUGCAUCGUUCGAUAACUGAUACAUUCGACGAUUUCAAAACUUUACAUCGACACAAACGUUCUGUUUUGCCGUUUAUAGAUAGCGCAAUGAGUUUUUUGUUUGGUACAUUGACAGAAGACGAUAUUAAUUUAAUUAAGGGCAACGUUCGUACAUAA